CCUACGGGUGGCAGCAGUCGGGAAUAUUGCACAAUGGAGGAAACUCUGACGCAGCGACGCCGCGUGCGUGAAGAAGUUAUUCGUUUUGUAAACCUCUUUAAGCAGGGAAGAAAAUGACCGUACCCGAGUAAGUAGCCCCCGCUAACCAAGUGCCAGCCGCCGGGGUAAUACGUAGGGGGCAAGCGUUAUCCGGAUUUACUGGGUGUUAAGGGGGCGUUGACGGGAAGUCAAGUCUGGUGUGAAAGUCGGGGGCUCAACCUACGGACUGGACAGAAAACUAUACGGCUGGAGUGCAGGAGAGGUAAGUGGAAUUCCUAGUGUAGCGGUGAAAUGCGUAGAUAUUAGGAGGAACACCAGUGGCGAAGGCGACUUACUGGACUGUAACUGACGUUGAGGCACGAAAGCGUGGGGAGCAAACAGGAUUAGAUACCCCAGUAGUC
Molecule: ribosomal RNA, 440 nt
Filed under: uncultured bacterium
Lineage: Bacteria
Description: partial 16S ribosomal RNA
Rfam family: Bacterial small subunit ribosomal RNA
Source: RNAcentral